CAUAGUCAAAGAGUCCAAGGACCAGAUUACAGCAGGAAAUAGCUAGAAAAUCAUCUGGAAGAAAAAGCUGCAAUCUCCCAUAAAAUUGUCAGUUGUCAUUUUUAAAUUUUAGAGGAAGCAGUUAUCAAAAUUGCUUUCACCAAAAAAUUCGGGGAGACAGCUUUCAUUGUGCCCCAGGGUGAAAUGAUUCAAAUUGAAUGGAUUUGCCCAAUAGCAACUUGUUGUUUUUUCAAAAGAAAUCCUGGCAUCAACUUUUGCCCACCUAGAGUAGAGAUGUUUUUCAAGGAUGAUGCCAAGAAUGAUUCACAGUGGUGUGAGGAAUAGCUAAUUGCUGCAAAAUUUUGCUUUGUUGGAUUUGUCCGCCAAAUUGAAGUAGACAUCAUGAGUCGUGCUACACAGAUAUUUUUUAAAUAUUACAGAAAUCCUGGUUGUCCCCAAACUGUAGGGUGUUGAUAUGAAGAUUGUAUUUGGUAUUAAUGUGAGAAUCAAAGAAAUUGUUCUUGCUGAUGUUAAUGAUGAUGAUCCCUGGUGACUCUG
Molecule: long non-coding RNA, 537 nt
Filed under: Marmota monax (woodchuck)
Lineage: Eukaryota; Metazoa; Chordata; Mammalia; Rodentia; Sciuridae
Source: RNAcentral